AGUGAACGCUGGCGGUAGGCCUAACACAUGCAAGUCGAACGGCAGCACAGGAGAGCUUGCUCUCUGGGUGGCGAGUGGCGGACGGGUGAGGAAUACAUCGGAAUCUACUCUGUCGUGGGGGAUAACGUAGGGAAACUUACGCUAAUACCGCAUACGACCUACGGGUGAAAGCAGGGGACCUUCGGGCCUUGCGCGAUUGAAUGAGCCGAUGUCGGAUUAGCUAGUUGGCGGGGUAAAGGCCCACCAAGGCGACGAUCCGUAGCUGGUCUGAGAGGAUGAUCAGCCACACUGGAACUGAGACACGGUCCAGACGCCUACGGGAGGCAGCAGUGGGGAAUAUUGGACAAUGGGCGCAAGCCUGAUCCAGCCAUACCGCGUGGGUGAAGAAGGCCUUCGGGUUGUAAAGCCCUUUUGUUGGGAAAGAAAUCCAGCCGGUUAAUACCUGGUUGGGAUGACGGUACCCAAAGAAUAAGCACCGGCUAACUUCGUGCCAGCCGCCGCCGUAA
Molecule: ribosomal RNA, 506 nt
Filed under: uncultured bacterium
Lineage: Bacteria
Description: partial 16S ribosomal RNA
Rfam family: Bacterial small subunit ribosomal RNA
Source: RNAcentral